AUGGCUCAGCUGUGGUAACCAAGGAGCA
This 28-nucleotide non-coding RNA is filed under the name Rattus norvegicus (Norway rat). Lineage: Eukaryota; Metazoa; Chordata; Mammalia; Rodentia; Muridae. The record is from RNAcentral.